Long non-coding RNA from Bacillus rossius redtenbacheri, 728 nucleotides. RefSeq lists it as uncharacterized. NCBI's taxonomy places the organism in Eukaryota, Metazoa, Arthropoda, Insecta, Phasmatodea, Bacillidae. The record is from RefSeq and is a predicted model, not a curated record. The transcript is spliced from 2 exons.
UGCUCCAGAAAUAAUCGAUCUUUGUUAUUGUAAAAAGUACUCUCUACGAGUGCCAUGUUCAAUGUCCUUCUUCGUCUUGCACUUACAGACCACCAACGGUCUUUUCCAGCACCUUGACGCCAUGUUGUAGUAACGCCGAAAUUCUUUAUUGUGUGAUUUUAAGCCUUCAACCGCACUAAGUGCGGUUCCACGAUACCGGCCAUGCGGUAAACUUGAACCAACUUGUGCUGUGGUGUUGGGGGCCUGUCCCCGGCAGCCCGGAAGCAAAAUGAAGUGACCGCACCUAAUUCAGGAAAGCCGACGACUAUUUUAUUAUUUUUGGCAUGAAUUACUAACCUUUUUUUAAUCAACUCUACCUAUGUGAAAAUUUCGUGGACUUAACCUCAUCGGACUUCUCGUCAAACUUGUCUUCUCUUCUAUUUUAAAGAAAUUUAUUUGAACCAACGCAACGUUUUAUUUAAUAUAUAAUUUUCAAGCAACGAAAUAAUGUAACAUGGACUAAAGAUAUUUUGAUAAACAAACAAAAAAAAAUAUGUUUUGAAAGAAAUUCAUCAUGUAAUAAUUGUAAGACAAUUUUAUUUUUUUUCUGUGGGGCCCCAGAUAAGAUAAAACUUAAAUAUAAUAAAAUCAGUAUUAUGUUAACGAAAUAAUUUAAAAUCCAAGUGAUAUUACCAAAAAGUCAGGGUUUAAUUUAAAAUAAUUUAUACAAAUAAAUUAUUUAUCUGAAA